GGUCAAGUUACUUACGCUUGUGAUGGAUGACUUGGUCUUGAUAGGCGAUGAAGGACGUGGCAAGCUGCGAAAAGCUGGGGUUAGUCGCAAACUGACUUUGACCCCCAGAUGUCCGAAUGGGAAAACCCUCUGCGGGUAAUGCCGCAGAAUUUGCGUCUGAAAUUUAAAAUAGGAUGCAAAAGCCACACCGGGAGAAGUGAAACAUCUCAGUACCCCGAGGAAAAGAAAAAGACAUUUAUUUCCCAAGUAGCGGCGAGCGAACGGGAAGAAGCCCAAACCUUAUUUACGUGAUAGCCCGCGUGCGUUGUAGAUAGGGGGUUAUAGGUUCUCACCUGACGGAAUGCGGAUCCGUCGGAAAGUUAUAAACCUUACUUGUAGUUGAAUGCCAUGGAAAUGGCAACCAAAGAAGGUGAUAGUCCUGUAUAUUAAACAAGUAGGGCUUUCUGGGUGGGAUACCUAAUUACUAUGGGACACGUGAAACCCCAUAGGAACUCGGCCAGACCAUUGGCCAAGGCUAAAUACUCAUCAAGGACCGAUAGUGAAAAAGUACCGUGAGGGAAAGUUGAAAAGAACCCCUGUAAGGGGAGUGAAAUAGUACCUGAAAUCACAAGCUUACAAAGCGGUGGGAGCGCUAUGACGUGUCUUCGGAUGCGUAAUGCGUGACCGCGUGCCUUUUGGAUAAUGAACCUGCGAGUUAUUUUGUUCAGCGAGGUUAAUUUCGUGAUUAAUCGUCACGAUUGAAGCCGUAGCGAAAGCGAGUCUGAAUAGGGCGAUUAAGUUGGACAAAUUAGACCCGAAACUGAGUGAUCUACCCAUGGCCAGCGCGAAGCGGCCUUAACCGGUCGUGGAGGUGCGAACCCGUCUGCGUUGAAAAGCGUUGGGAUGAGCUGUGGGUCGGAGCGAAAGACUAAUCAAACUCAGAAAUUGCUGGUUCUCCUCGAAAUUACUUUAGGGUAAGCCUUGCAAAUUAGACAUUGGGGGUAGAGCACUAAAUGGGCUAGGGGCCCCACCAGGUUCCCAAACCCAAUUAAACUCCUAAUACCAGUGUUGCAAUUGCAGGAGAUAGACUGUGGGGGAUAAGCUUCAUAGUCAAAAGGGAAACAGCCCAGACCACCAAAUAAGGUCUCUAAUGUAAGCUAAGUUGAAAAGGAUGUGAAGUCGCUUUGACAACCGGGAUGUUGGCUCAGAGGCAGCCAUCAUUUAAAGAGUGCGUAACAGCUCACCGGUCAAUGUGAUUUCGCGCCUAUAAUAAUCGAGGAUAAGCUUACAACCGAAUUUGUGGAUUCGUUUUGCCUUCGGGCGAAGCGAGUGGUAGAGGAGCAUUCUGCGCUAGGUUGAAGGGGUACCGUAAGGAGCCCUGGACGAUGCAGAAGAGUUUAUGCAGGUAUAAGUAGCGAAAAUCCCGAUGAAAAAACGGGACGUCGAAAAUCCAAGGUUUCCUGGGGAAGGUUAAUCCGCCCAGGGUUAGUCGAUCCUAAGCUGAGGCCGAAAGGCGUAGGCGAUGGAAGAAUCUGUUAAUAUUCAGAUACUACCUAUUUUGUGCUAUCAACCAAAGAGUGACGCAGGAAGCUAAGCCAGCGGCCGGUUGGAAGUGGCCGUCGGGACUUUUAUGGCCCGGAGAAAUCCGGGAGAGAGGGGUCUUAGGGAGCCCAAGCUACGGCAAGGGUAAACUGGCCUACAGCUAGGCUGCCAAGAAAAACCUUUUUGGCGAAUGGAAUAGGUAAUCGUACCGUAAACCGACACAGGUGGACACCCAGAAUAUGGGAAGACGCUCGAUAGAACCCUCGUUAAGGAACUAGGCAAAAUAGCCCCGUAACUUCGGAAGAAGGGGUGCCUUAAAUUGUGAAGUGAACAACGGAGCAAUUUAGGGUCUCAGUAAAGUGGCUCUUGUGACUGUUUAGCAAAAACACAUCUCUCUGCAAAGUCGUAAAGACGACGUAUAGGGAGUGACACCUGCCCGGUGCUGGAAGGUUAAGGGUAAAGGUUAUCUUCAGCAAUGGAGAGAAGCUUUGAACCGAAGCCCCAGUAAACGGCGGCCGUAACUAUAACGGUCCUAAGGUAGCGAAAUUCCUUGUCGGGUAAGUUCCGACCCGCACG
This 2097-nucleotide ribosomal RNA is filed under the name Candidatus Omnitrophica bacterium CG_4_9_14_0_2_um_filter_43_12. RNAcentral describes it as "bacterial LSU rRNA". It matches the Rfam family "Bacterial large subunit ribosomal RNA", at positions 1 to 1994 of the family's 2925-position model. The record is from RNAcentral. Lineage: Bacteria; Pseudomonadati; Candidatus Omnitrophota.